AGAGUUUGAUCCUGGCUCAGGACGAACGCUGGCGGCGUGCCUAAUACAUGCAAGUCGAGCGAGCGGAACUAACAGAUUUACUUCGGUAAUGACGUUAGGAAAGCGAGCGGCGGAUGGGUGAGUAACACGUGGGGAACCUGCCCCAUAGUCUGGGAUACCACUUGGAAACAGGUGCUAAUACCGGAUAAGAAAGCAGAUCGCAUGAUCAGCUUUUGAAAGGCGGCGUAAGCUGUCGCUAUGGGAUGGCCCCGCGGUGCAUUAGCUAGUUGGUAAGGUAAAGGCUUACCAAGGCGAUGAUGCAUAGCCGAGUUGAGAGACUGAUCGGCCACAUUGGGACUGAGACACGGCCCAAACUCCUACGGGAGGCAGCAGUAGGGAAUCUUCCACAAUGGACGCAAGUCUGAUGGAGCAACGCCGCGUGAGUGAAGAAGGUUUUCGGAUCGUAAAGCUCUGUUGUUGGUGAAGAAGGAUAGAGGUAGUAACUGGCCUUUAUUUGACGGUAAUCAACCAGAAAGUCACGGCUAACUACGUGCCAGCAGCCGCGGUAAUACGUAGGUGGCAAGCGUUGUCCGGAUUUAUUGGGCGUAAAGCGAGCGCAGGCGGAAGAAUAAGUCUGAUGUGAAAGCCCUCGGCUUAACCGAGGAACUGCAUCGGAAACUGUUUUUCUUGAGUGCAGAAGAGGAGAGUGGAACUCCAUGUGUAGCGGUGGAAUGCGUAGAUAUAUGGAAGAACACCAGUGGCGAAGGCGGCUCUCUGGUCUGCAACUGACGCUGAGGCUCGAAAGCAUGGGUAGCGAACAGGAUUAGAUACCCUGGUAGUCCAUGCCGUAAACGAUGAGUGCUAAGUGUUGGGAGGUUUCCGCCUCUCAGUGCUGCAGCUAACGCAUUAAGCACUCCGCCUGGGGAGUACGACCGCAAGGUUGAAACUCAAAGGAAUUGACGGGGGCCCGCACAAGCGGUGGAGCAUGUGGUUUAAUUCGAAGCAACGCGAAGAACCUUACCAGGUCUUGACAUCUAGUGCCAUUUGUAGAGAUACAAAGUUCCCUUCGGGGACGCUAAGACAGGUGGUGCAUGGCUGUCGUCAGCUCGUGUCGUGAGAUGUUGGGUUAAGUCCCGCAACGAGCGCAACCCUUGUUAUUAGUUGCCAGCAUUAAGUUGGGCACUCUAAUGAGACUGCCGGUGACAAACCGGAGGAAGGUGGGGAUGACGUCAAGUCAUCAUGCCCCUUAUGACCUGGGCUACACACGUGCUACAAUGGGCAGUACAACGAGAAGCGAGCCUGCGAAGGCAAGCGAAUCUCUGAAAGCUGUUCUCAGUUCGGACUGCAGUCUGCAACUCGACUGCACGAGGCUGGAAUCGCUAGUAAUCGCGGAUCAGCACGCCGCGGUGAAUACGUUCCCGGGCCUUGUACACACCGCCCGUCACACCAUGGGAGUCUGCAAUGCCCAAAGCCGGUGGCCUAACCUUCGGGAAGGAGCCGUCUAAGGCAGGGCAGAUGACUGGGGUGAAGUCGUAACAAGGUAACCGUA
This 1528-nucleotide ribosomal RNA is filed under the name Lactobacillus crispatus. RNAcentral's name for it is "bacterial SSU rRNA". It matches the Rfam family "Bacterial small subunit ribosomal RNA". Lineage: Bacteria; Bacillati; Bacillota; Bacilli; Lactobacillales; Lactobacillaceae. The record is from RNAcentral.